UACGAAGGGUGCUAGCGUUGUUCGGAAUUACUGGGCGUAAAGCGCGCGUAGGCUGUUUUGCAAGUUGGGGGUGAAAUCCCGGGGCUUAACCCCGGAACUGCCUUCAAAACUGCGAGGCUAGAGUGUGGGAGAGGUGAGUGGAAUUCCGAGUGUAGAGGUGAAAUUCGUAGAUAUUCGGAAGAACACCAGUGGCGAAGGCGGCUCACUGGACCACAACUGACGCUGAGGCGCGAAAGCGUGGGGAGCAAACAGG
RNAcentral lists this ribosomal RNA (253 nucleotides) under uncultured bacterium. RNAcentral describes it as "partial 16S ribosomal RNA". It matches the Rfam family "Bacterial small subunit ribosomal RNA", at positions 524 to 776 of the family's 1533-position model. The record is from RNAcentral.